Molecule: non-coding RNA, 2682 nt
Organism: Sus scrofa (pig)
Lineage: Eukaryota; Metazoa; Chordata; Mammalia; Artiodactyla; Suidae
Source: RefSeq, a predicted model, not a curated record
UUUUCUAAUCUUUAGAUCAGAACUGUCUCCACUGAUAGCCUAUCAAGGGUCAGUGAGAGACUUGUCCCUUUGCUGGUUUUCCUGGUAACUGAGGAACCAACCUGACGUCAAUUCCCCUUAUAACUGAGACGCUAUCUCAGUAAUGAGGGUAAAUAGAGAAGAGGUUCCUUGGUGGUGGAUGACAGUGAAGACCAAGUCACCAUAUUGCUUCUACUCCUGAGAUGAAGAGACAGCAAAAAUUCAGCAUUUGAAUUUCAGUCAUGCUCUACAUCCUGAGGGAAAAACAAUUCAUGUUUUGGGGAAAUUAGCUGUUAAUUAAAAUGUUAUUUUAAAGAUAUUAAUCAUUUGUGAGUAUUCAUGCCUUUGUAGGAGAACAUUAAAAUGUGCUGGUUAGUAGAUACACAUCACAUAAUUGCCCAAGUGCUUGUUUGUGGAACACCUGCUUAUAUUUCUAGGAGGGUCAAGGCUGUGCUUGGAAGAAGAGGCUGCAAUUAGGAUUUCUGCUCUAUCAUGAACCAAGAGUCUGGGGAAUCUCUUGAUCUCCCUGAACCCCAGUUUUCUUAUGUUCAAAAUGGUAAUAUUAAGACUACUUCACAGGGCUGGUGGUCAUUCAACUAACUGCUGCUAUUGUGUUUUGUGCCAAUUUAACCACAUUCUUUUGCCUUCUGACCAUAGCCAGGCAUUUUCUUGACAGUUGGUGAGAGUUAAAAACAAUAUCUAUGACCAGGAGAUCAGGUGAAGUAAUUGUUUCAAUACUUUGGCCUCGUAGAACUAGGUUCUAAUUCACUAAACUAACCCAUCAGCUGCCAUUUUAUCUCAUUAGUGAUGGAUAAAAUAUAUUCUCACUGCAAAUCCUAAAUUAUAUUCCUGAGAGAUUUUGGUUAAUUAGGAAAAAUCCAUAUAUACACAAAGGAAGAGGAAAGCUGGGUAAUGAACCUCUAGACCUAUCACCCGAAUUCAGCAGUUAUCAAGAUUUUGCCACACUUGCUUCAAAUCUCUCUCUCUCCUUUGAUCUCUCUCUUUCUUGGCUGAAUUAUUUAAAAGCAAACCCAGUCUUCACUUCCUUUCACUUCAAACUAUAAUUAUUUUCUAGCGAAGCCUUAUGCCAUUACCAUACCUAAUUGAAUUAAUCAUAAUUCUUUGCUAUCAUUCAAAUACCCAGUCUAUAUUAACUUUUUUUCUAUUGUCAAAUAUAUAUAUGUAUAUAUUAUCCUGCUGUCAAAAAAAUAUAUAUAUGUAUUUACAGUUAGGGUGUUCAAAUCAGGAUCCAAAUGAGAUCUAUACAUGGCAUUUUUAAUGGGAAGAUAAAGUAGAUAAAAAUUUCUACUGUCUAUUAUCCUGCACCAUAUAUUAUAGUUAUUUUGAAGUAACUUCAUGACAUAUGAACAACCCUUAUCAAUUAAGUUUAUCCAAAAGAGAAAAUUCCAUUUGCUUUAAGUAUUGAAAAUAUCAUUAUAGACUUAGAGAAAAAAAGUGUUAACAACAGUUUUUUGGGGGCGAUGAACCCAAAGGUGCAUUGUGUUUGCCUGUAUUUUCUCCAGUGAUAUCACUGUUUUUAGAAUCAGCAAUGUAAGAUAAUUGCUAUUAGAUAGCUGGACACACCAUUAGAGAGAGAGAGAGAGAUGAAAUUAAAACCAUGAAAUUUUUCUAUGGGCCUCUAGAAAUGCAAUUAUCUCUCCUGUGGAAAAGAAACACAGAAAAUUGGAGUCCUAUUUUGUGUUUGCCUACUGUGAAGAGGAGACACAUAAAUUGUAUCUAUUGAAUACAUGUAUUUAAAAGUUGAUACUUUGUGGGGUUUGGGGGGUAGCUAUUUAAAAUUUAUGUUAUUCAGAAAAACUAACUAGAUGGGAUUUCAAAAGUCUUCUCAGCUUUGCUUUGUAACCUAUUAUGACUAAUGAGUAUAUCCAUGGAAAUUGGCGUGAAUUGUCAUACUAUUCAUGAACAGCAUUGUAUUGGCUCUAGCAACUGAUAUAUGGAAAUGUUCAGAUACAGCACCUAUGCUUUACCAGAUGGGGCCUGCGGGAGCCUCCUGGUGGUGAGGAAUAAAAUAGAUUUCUGGAGAUCCUGUUGUGGCUCAGUGGGAUACAAAGCCAACUAGUAUCCAUUAGGAUGUGGGUUCAAUCCCUGGCCUUGCUCAGUGGGUUAAGGGUCUGGUGUUGCCAUAAGCUGUGGUGUAGGUUGCAGUUGCAGAUUGACCCUUAGCCUGGGAACCUCCAUCUGCCGAGAGCUAUGUAAGGAAUUUCCAGAGAUUCUUCAGAGUAGGGGAAAUCCUCACCACAUUGAGAGACAAAUGGGUGCUAUGAGGGCCAUCUGGGUUUCCAAUAAUGGGCAGAGGUUUCUUUGUCCCCAAAACAGAACAGAAAUUAGUGCCUGGGGAUGUGGUGAGAGUAGAGAAAGUACAUGGCAUUUUAACUCUUCCCUUUUUUUUUUUUUUUUUUUUUUUAAAUGACUACACCCAGUGUAUAUGGAAGUUCCCAGGCCAGGAAUUGAAUCCACACCAUAUGCUUUAACCCACUGCACUGGACUUGGGAUCAAACCCUCACCUCUGCAGCGACCAGAGUCACUGCAGUCCGAUGCUUAGUUUACUAUGCUCCGGUGGGAACUCCUUAACUCUUUCUUAAAGCAUUAGAAAAGCUGACACUCAAUCUCUUCCACAGGCCAAAGAGUAGCCUUGAGGUGUGA